GGCCCCAUGGCUUAGUUUGGUAGAGUGCCCGACUGAUAAUCGGGUGGUCCCGAGUUCAAACAAAUGGUUACGCUCAUUUGAAACGCAAGAGCGGGUUGGACAUAAAGCCCAACGCACUGCGAAAAAGCGGAACUGUUAUGAAAGUCUCGGUGGGGCCA
This 158-nucleotide transfer RNA is filed under the name Candidatus Woesearchaeota archaeon. Its description in RNAcentral is "tRNA-Ile". Lineage: Archaea; Nanobdellati; Candidatus Woesearchaeota. The record is from RNAcentral.